GAUGAAGAACGCAGCAAAAUGCGAUAAGUAGUGUGAAUUGCAGAAUUCAGUGAAUCAUCGAAUCUUUGAACGCACAUUGCGCCCGCCAGUAUUCUGGCGGGCAUGCCUGUUCGAGCGUCAUUUCAACCCUCAAGCACAGCUUGGUGUUGGGACUCGCGUUAAUUCGCGUUCCUCAAAUUGAUUGGCGGUCACGUCGAGCUUCCAUAGCGUAGUAGUAAAACCCUCGUUACUGGUAAUCGUCGCGGCCACGCCGUUAAACCCCAACUUCUGAAUGUUGACCUCGGAUCAGGUAGGAAUACCCGCUGAACUUAAGCAUAUCAAUAAGCGGAGGA
RNAcentral lists this unclassified non-coding RNA (332 nucleotides) under soil metagenome. RNAcentral's name for it is "partial contains 5.8S ribosomal RNA, internal transcribed spacer 2, and large subunit ribosomal RNA". The stretch from base 1 to 120 matches the Rfam family "5.8S ribosomal RNA", at positions 35 to 154 of the family's 154-position model. The record is from RNAcentral.